This 492-nucleotide ribosomal RNA is filed under the name uncultured bacterium. RNAcentral's name for it is "partial 16S ribosomal RNA". It matches the Rfam family "Bacterial small subunit ribosomal RNA", at positions 29 to 507 of the family's 1533-position model. The record is from RNAcentral.
AGUGAACGCUGGCGGUAGGCCUAACACAUGCAAGUCGAACGGCAGCACAGUAAGAGCUUGCUCUUACGGGUGGCGAGUGGCGGACGGGUGAGGAAUACAUCGGAAUCUACUUUUUCGUGGGGGAUAACGUAGGGAAACUUACGCUAAUACCGCAUACGACCUACGGAUGAAAGCAGGGGAUCUUCGGACCUUGCGCGAUUGAAUGAGCCGAUGUCGGAUUAGCUAGUUGGCGGGGUAAAGGCCCACCAAGGCGACGACCCGUAGCUGGUCUGAGAGGAUGAUCAGCCACACUGGAACUGAGACACGGUCCAGACUCCUACGGGAGGCAGCAGUGGGGAAUAUUGGACAAUGGGCGCAAGCCUGAUCCAGCCAUACCGCGUGGGUGAAGAAGGCCUUCGGGUUGUAAAGCCCUUUUGUUGGGAAAGAAAAGCAGCAGGUUAAUACCCCGCUGUUCUGACGGUACCCAAAGAAUAAGCACCGGCUAACUUCGUG